GACAGAGGGUGCAAACGUUGUUCGGAAUUACUGGGCGUAAAGCGCGUGUAGGCGGCCCUGCAAGUCGGAUGUGAAAUCCCACGGCUCAACCGUGGAAGUGCAUUCGAAACUGCAGGGCUAGAGUCCUGGAGAGGAAGGUGGAAUGCUUGGUGUAGAGGUGAAAUUCGUAGAUAUCAAGCGGAACACCGGUGGCGAAGGCGGCGACCUGGUCCGAUACUGACGCUGAGGCGCGAAAGCGUGGGGAGCAAACGGG
RNAcentral lists this ribosomal RNA (253 nucleotides) under uncultured bacterium. RNAcentral's name for it is "partial 16S ribosomal RNA". It matches the Rfam family "Bacterial small subunit ribosomal RNA", at positions 524 to 776 of the family's 1533-position model. The record is from RNAcentral.